RNAcentral lists this ribosomal RNA (253 nucleotides) under uncultured bacterium. RNAcentral's name for it is "partial 16S ribosomal RNA". It matches the Rfam family "Bacterial small subunit ribosomal RNA", at positions 524 to 776 of the family's 1533-position model. The record is from RNAcentral.
UACGUAGGGUGCAAGCGUUGUCCGGAAUUAUUGGGCGUAAAGAGCUCGUAGGCGGUUUGUUGCGUCGGCUGUGAAAUCCCGAGGCUCAACCUCGGGUCUGCAGUCGAUACGAGCAAACUAGAGUGUUGCAGGGGAGACUGGAAUUCCCGGUGUAGCGGUGAAAUGCGCAGAUAUCAGGAGGAACACCGAUGGCGAAGGCAGGUCUCUGGGCCACUACUGACGCUGAGAAGCGAAAGCAUGGGGAGCGAACAGG